CACGUAGGCGGACCAGAAAGUUGGGGUGAAAUCCCGGGGCUCAACCCCGGAACUGCCUUCAAAACUCCUGGUCUUGAGGUCGAGAGAGGUGAGUGGAAUUCCGAGUGUAGAGGUGAAAUUCGUAGAUAUUCGGAGGAACACCAGUGGCGAAGGCGGCUCACUGGCUCGAUACUGACGCUGAGGUGCGAAAGCGUGGGGAGCAAACA
This 206-nucleotide ribosomal RNA is filed under the name uncultured bacterium. Its description in RNAcentral is "partial 16S ribosomal RNA". It matches the Rfam family "Bacterial small subunit ribosomal RNA", at positions 568 to 774 of the family's 1533-position model. The record is from RNAcentral.